This 253-nucleotide ribosomal RNA is filed under the name uncultured bacterium. Its description in RNAcentral is "partial 16S ribosomal RNA". It matches the Rfam family "Bacterial small subunit ribosomal RNA", at positions 524 to 776 of the family's 1533-position model. The record is from RNAcentral.
UACGGAGGGUGCGAGCGUUGUUCGGAAUCACUGGGCGUAAAGCGCGUGUAGGCGGCCUGCUAAGUCUGAUGUGAAAGCCCGAGGCUCACCCUCGGAAGUGCAUUGGAAACUGGCAGACUGGAGUCCCGGAGAGGAGGGUGGAAUUCCUGGUGUAGCGGUGAAAUGCGUAGAUAUCAGGAGGAACACCAGUGGCGAAGGCGGCUCACUGGCCCGUAACUGACGCUGAGGUGCGAAAGCGUGGGGAGCAAACAGG